Molecule: long non-coding RNA, 1561 nt
Organism: Melopsittacus undulatus (budgerigar)
Lineage: Eukaryota; Metazoa; Chordata; Aves; Psittaciformes; Psittaculidae
Exons: 2
Source: RefSeq, a predicted model, not a curated record
CUCAUGUACCAAAUAUCCAUUCUCCUGUGAGAACACUGUCUCCACAGGCUUUGAUCUAUAGUCAAAGACAAUGCUAGUUAAAAAGGAAAGCAGUCCACAGGAACUCAACAUUUAAUAAACUGUUGUCCAUUUAUUAGAUGUUCAGUCCAUCUGAGUUUCUAAAGGACAAAUUGUACCUUAUGCUGCAGCAUAUAACUGAAGAAGAAUUAAACUGGGUACUUUUCUUCGCAGUUGCUGGGAUUUCUGCUCCUAAUUAACUGUGUUUGGUACUUUCAGGUAAGUGUAGGGCCUGAUUACAACUACAGGUAAAGCACAAAAAAAUUGUCGGAGACUGCAGAGAGAAGUGUCCUGGGCUUCGAAACGUCUGUCAUGUUUGGGAAAUAAUGGCCUGAUUUAUUAAUUGCCGCUUUUCAUGUGUCUCCUGCCUGCUCCUGUCUAAAGCUUUUGCACAAGGGAUUGGAUAUAUUCAGAGCUGCUCUACAGUAACACACAACUCCUCUGCUUACCCUUCAGGGCAACUAGAUGGUGUAAAUGUUUCUUGUGGCUUGGGGAUGUUCUUUCGUGUCAGAGUUCCAUAGUUUAUGAAGAUUACCUUCCUGCCACUGUGCUUCCCAGCCUGCUUUCAAAGGCAAAGGUGUACUUCAGUGAGCAAAGUCUGUACAAAGCCAGUUGCUUCUGCACUGACAGGAAAAUCCACCACUCUUUCAGAAUCAUAAAACUGACUAUGUUGGAAAAGACCUUUAAGAUCAUCAGGUCCAACCCAGGACUGCCAAGCCCACCACUAAGCCAUAUCACUGAGGACCUCAUCUGCACGGUUUUUGAACACUUCCAGAGAUGGUGAUUCCACCACUUUCCUGUGAAGACUGUUCCAAUACCUGAUUACCCUCCCUGUGAAGAAACUUUUCCUGAUAUCUAAUCUAAACCUCCCCUGGUGCAGCUUGAUGCCAUUACCUCUUGUCCUAUUGCUUGUUACUCAGAAGAGACUGACCCCACCUCACUACAACCUCCUUUCAGCUAGUUGUAGAAAGCGAUAGAGAGCACUUCAGCACCUCAAUGCCUUUCCUGAAGUAGGGGCACAGAACUGAAUGCUGAAUGAGGGGCUGAGUCGGGAUUUCAAAUGCCAAGUUGCACACGGAGGAACUGAAAUACCUUCUAUCAGAAAAUAGUGUGAAUUGAGCGUUACUGAGUUAAUGACCUGGAAAGCAUCUUUCUCAAGUGCCUUGAGGAUGUUUCUGAAAAUAAGACUGUAUGUUAAGUAAUUUGGUUGAAUUUUAUCUAAUUAGAGCUACCUCUGAUUUCCUUUUCAAGGUGCAGCAUUUAUUGAUCCUUCUCAGACUGGUAUUUUUCAAUUAGGACAGUAUUGAACCACAACUUAUGUUAUUUCAGGUAUAAUUAAAAGACUUUUUUUUUUCCCUGGAACACAAUCUGAAAACAAAUGGCAAAUAAAAUUUGUUAUUUUGAUAUUUCUCCAGCUAUGUGCAACAUAGAUAUUAGCAUAAAUUAGCCUAAUUGGGUCAGCUUGUACUUAAAUUUCUGGACAAUAAAGCUUUUCCCUUCUGUA